RNAcentral lists this ribosomal RNA (2856 nucleotides) under Selaginella bryopteris. RNAcentral's name for it is "bacterial LSU rRNA". It matches the Rfam family "Bacterial large subunit ribosomal RNA". Lineage: Eukaryota; Viridiplantae; Streptophyta; Lycopodiopsida; Selaginellales; Selaginellaceae. The record is from RNAcentral.
AGGGCGCACGGUGGAUGCCUUGGCACCAGGAACCGAUGAAGGACGUGGGAGGCCACGAUAGUCCCCGGGGAGUCGUCAACCAGGCUUUGAUCCGGGGGUUUCCGAAUGGGGAAACCCGGCAGUCGUCAUGGGCUGUCACCCGCUGCUGAACACAUAGGCAGUGUGGAGGGAACGCGGGGAAGUGAAACAUCUCAGUACCCACAGGAAGAGAAAACAAAAGUGAUUCCGUGAGUAGUGGCGAGCGAAAGCGGAGGAGGCUAAACCGUGUGUGUGUUCAAGCCGGCAGGUGUUGCAUGUGCGGGGUUGUGGGGGCCUGUGUGAUCCUGCUGCCGUGGGAUCGGCUUGCAUGUGGUGUGAAGUUGAAUCGUCUGGGAAGGCGGACCGUAGUGGGUGAGAGUCCCGUAGUCGAAAUGUGUUCCGCCGCUGUUGGAGGGUCGCCCGAGUAGCACGGGGCCCGAGGAAUCCCGUGUGAAUCUGCCAGGACCACCUGGUAAGCCUGAAUACUACCUGUUGACCGAUAGCGGAUCAGUACCGUGAGGGAAUGGUGAAAAGUACCCCGGGAGGGGAGUGAAAUAGUACCUGAAACCAUGUGCCUACAAACCGUCGGAGCCUCCUUGUUGGGGUGACGGCGUGCCUUUUGAAGAAUGAGCCUGCGAGUUAGUGAUACGUGGCGAGGUUAACCCGUGUGGGGAAGCCGUAGCGAAAGCGAGUCUGAAUAGGGCGAUUCAGUCGCGUGUCCUAGACCCGAAGCGGAGUGAUCUACCCAUGGCCAGGUUGAAGCGCGUGUAAGAGCGCGUGGAGGACCGAACCCACUUCAGUUGAAAAUGGAGGGGAUGAGCUGUGGGUAGGGGUGAAAGGCCAAUCAAACUCCGUGAUAGCUGGUUCUCCCCGAAAUGCAUUUAGGUGCAGCGUCACGUGUUUCUUCCCGGAGGUAGAGCUACUGGAUGGCUGAUGGGCCCUACAAGGUUACUGACGUCAACCAAACUCCGAAUGCCGGGAAGUGAGAGCGUGGCAGUGAGACUGUGGGGGAUAAGCUUCAUAGUCGAGAGGGAAACAGCCCAGACCACCGGUUAAGGCCCCUAAGCGUGUGCUAAGUGGGAAAGGAUGUGGAGUUGCUGAGACAACCAGGAGGUUGGCUUAGAAGCAGCCAUCCUUUAAAGAAAGCGUAAUAGCUCACUAGUCGAGUCGGCCUGCGCGGAAGAUGUAACGGGGCUAAGCCAGUUACCGAAGCUGCGGAUUUGCAAUUUAUUGCAAGUGGUAGGAGAGCGUUCUGUACGCCUGUGAAGGUGGAUCGUGAGGUCUGCUGGAGGUAUCAGAAGUGCGAAUGCUGACAUGAGUAGCGUUAAAGGGGGUGAAAAGCCCCCUCGCCGUAAGCGCAAGGUUUCCUACGCAACGUUCAUCGGCGUAGGGUGAGUCGGCCCCUAAGGCGAGGCAGAGAUGCGUAGCUGAUGGGAAACAGGUCAAUAUUCCUGUACCGAUGUGUAGUGCGAUGUGGGGACGGAGAAGGUUAGCUCAGCCGGGUGUUGGAUGUCCCGGUUCAAGCCUGUAGUCGUGCCUGGUAGGCAAAUCCGCCGGGCUUAGAUGAGGGGUGAUAACGAGGCGGCUUGCCGCCGAAGUGAGUGAUACCCUGCUUCCAGGAAAAGCCACUAAGCUCCAGCUACACACGACCGUACCGCAAACCGACACUGGUGCGCGUGAUGAGUAUUCUCAGGCGCUUGAGAGAACUCUGGAGAAGGAACUCGGCAAAUUGACACCGUAACUUCGGAAGAAGGUGUGCCUUGAGUAGGUGAAGUUGUACAAAUGGAGCCGAAAGGGGCCGCAGAGAAUCGGUGGCUGCGACUGUUUAAUAAAAACACAGCACUCUGCAAAGACGAAAGUCGACGUAUAGGGUGUGACGCCUGCCCGGUGCUGGAAGAUUAAAUGAUGGGGUGCAAGCUCUUGAUUGAAGUCCCAGUAAACGGCGGCCGUAACUAUAACGGUCCUAAGGUAGCGAAAUUCCUUGUCGGGUAAGUUCCGACCUGCACGAAUGGAGUAACGACUUCCCCGCUGUCUCAACCAUGAACUCGGCGAAAUUGCAUUACGAGUAAAGAUGCUCGUUACGCGCAGAAGGACGGAAAGACCCCGAGACCUUUACUAUAGUUUGGUAUUGGUGUUCGGUGUGGCUUGUGUAGGAUAGGUGGGAGACUGUGAAGCCGGCACGCCAGUGCUGGUGGAGUCAUCGUUGAAAUACCACUCUGGUCACUCUGGACAUCUAACUUCGGCCCGUGAUCCGGGUCAGGGACAGUGCCUGAUGGGUAGUUUAACUGGGGCGGUUGCCUCCCAAAAUGUAACGGAGGCGCCCAAAGGUCCCCUCAGCCUGGUUGGCAAUCAGGUGUCGAGUGCAAGUGCACAAGGGGGCUUGACUGUGAGAGAGACAUCUCGAGCAGGGACGAAAGUCGGGACUAGUGAUCCGGCACUGGCUUGUGGAAGCGGUGUCGCUCAACGGAUAAAAGGUACCUCGGGGAUAACAGGCUGAUCUUGCCCAAGAGUCCAUAUCGACGGCAUGGUUUGGCACCUCGAUGUCGGCUCGUCGCAUCCUGGGGCUGGAGUAGGUCCCAAGGGUUGGGCUGUUCGCCCAUUAAAGCGGUACGCGAGCUGGGUUCAGAACGUCGUGAGACAGUUCGGUCCCUAUCCGCUGCGCGCGUUGGAAAUUUGAGAAGGUCUGUCCUUAGUACGAGAGGACCGGGACGGACGAACCUCUGGUAUGUCAGUUGUACCGCCAGGUGCAUGGCUGAUUAGCUACGUUCGGGAUGGAUAACCGCUGAAAGCAUCUAAGCGGGAAGCCCCCCCCAAGAUUAGAUCUCCCUGGGAACUUGA